This 1210-nucleotide long non-coding RNA is filed under the name Homo sapiens (human). RNAcentral describes it as "HSALNT0401098". Lineage: Eukaryota; Metazoa; Chordata; Mammalia; Primates; Hominidae. The record is from RNAcentral.
AGUGGGAUGUGAAUGGCAGCGAUGCAUCCUUUGUGAGCUGAGGCUUUUAAGAAGCUGGUGAGGCUUCCUAUGCUUUCUUUCUGCUUCUGCUGGCUAGAAACAAAGGACACUGAGGCCCUCGGGGGAUGGUAGAGCCACAGGAAGCACCCCGGGUCCUUAAAUCAACAUGCGGAGGAAAGCCAACGGCCAGCCAUGGAUACUUGCAUUGGACUUUUAAGUGAAUGAGAGGUAAAUUUCUAUUAUGUGAAGAUAUUGCAAAUACUGGGUUUAUUUGUUAUAAUAGCUAGUGUUAUUCUAACUAAUAAAGCCAUCGUAUAAAAGGGGUGUACUAGUUUGAAGUGCUUCACAAACCCAGGUUGCAAAUGUCGUAUUCAUUGAUGUAUUCAUCUGUUCGCUUUCAAAAAUAAAUAUUUAUUAAGCACAUUCUGUAGGCCCUGCUCUAAGUGCUGGAGAUACAGUGAAGUGCAAGACAGAUGAAAGCCCUGCUCAUAUAAGGCAUUUACAAAUAUAAGGAUGAUGAAAAUAACCUCCUUCCCCUCUUCCCACACUGGUGAUAUUUCAUCUCCAUCAAAUACUUGCUUCUAAACCAUGCUCUUUCCUGCCUCCAUGCUGUUGGAGAAGUGUUCUCUUCCUGUGAACUCCUUCUCUUUAUAGACCCAGCUCUCCCGUGGGCAGCCCCUGAGGAGAGGAACUCCUCAGGCCAAGGCAGCAACUCCCUUCUACCUGUCUUCCUGCCCUGACAACAGCAUGAGCUGUGUUGUAGUCUGUUUGCUUUUUUAUGCACUGAUUUCCCUCUGCAGUCUGUGACCUCCUUCUCAUCCACCUUUGUAUUUUAGACUAUUGCACAAUGCUGGGCAUACAGCAGGUGCUCGCUGAAUAUUUGUAGAGUUAAUCUGAAUAUAAAACCACCAGAAAUGACUAUUUGGUUUUGUCAGGAACCUGCAAAAUGCAUUGUGUGCGUGUAUUAUUUUUAUUUUUUUGAGACAGAAUCUCCCUCUUUUGUCCAGGUUGGAGUUCAGUGGCUUGAUCUUGGCUCACUGCAACCUCUGCCUCCCGGGCUCAAGCGAUUCUCAUGCCUCAACCUCCCAAGUAGCUGAGAUUAUAGGCAUGUACCACCAUGCCUGGCUAAUUUUUGUAGUUUUGGUAGAAAUGGGGUGUCACCAUGUUGGCCAGGCUGGUCUUGGACUCCUGACCUUAGGUGAUCUGCCUG